UUUAUGGAGAGUUUGAUCCUGGCUCAGGAUGAACGCUGGCGGCGUGCCUAAUACAUGCAAGUCGAGCGAACGGACGAGAAGCUUGCUUCUCUGAUGUUAGCGGCGGACGGGUGAGUAACACGUGGAUAACCUACCUAUAAGACUGGGAUAACUUCGGGAAACCGGAGCUAAUACCGGAUAAUAUUUUGAACCGCAUGGUUCAAAAGUGAAAGACGGUCUUGCUGUCACUUAUAGAUGGAUCCGCGCUGCAUUAGCUAGUUGGUAAGGUAACGGCUUACCAAGGCAACGAUGCAUAGCCGACCUGAGAGGGUGAUCGGCCACACUGGAACUGAGACACGGUCCAGACUCCUACGGGAGGCAGCAGUAGGGAAUCUUCCGCAAUGGGCGAAAGCCUGACGGAGCAACGCCGCGUGAGUGAUGAAGGUCUUCGGAUCGUAAAACUCUGUUAUUAGGGAAGAACAUAUGUGUAAGUAACUGUGCACAUCUUGACGGUACCUAAUCAGAAAGCCACGGCUAACUACGUGCCAGCAGCCGCGGUAAUACGUAGGUGGCAAGCGUUAUCCGGAAUUAUUGGGCGUAAAGCGCGCGUAGGCGGUUUUUUAAGUCUGAUGUGAAAGCCCACGGCUCAACCGUGGAGGGUCAUUGGAAACUGGAAAACUUGAGUGCAGAAGAGGAAAGUGGAAUUCCAUGUGUAGCGGUGAAAUGCGCAGAGAUAUGGAGGAACACCAGUGGCGAAGGCGACUUUCUGGUCUGUAACUGACGCUGAUGUGCGAAAGCGUGGGGAUCAAACAGGAUUAGAUACCCUGGUAGUCCACGCCGUAAACGAUGAGUGCUAAGUGUUAGGGGGUUUCCGCCCCUUAGUGCUGCAGCUAACGCAUUAAGCACUCCGCCUGGGGAGUACGACCGCAAGGUUGAAACUCAAAGGAAUUGACGGGGACCCGCACAAGCGGUGGAGCAUGUGGUUUAAUUCGAAGCAACGCGAAGAACCUUACCAAAUCUUGACAUCCUUUGACAACUCUAGAGAUAGAGCUUUCCCCUUCGGGGGACAAAGUGACAGGUGGUGCAUGGUUGUCGUCAGCUCGUGUCGUGAGAUGUUGGGUUAAGUCCCGCAACGAGCGCAACCCUUAAGCUUAGUUGCCAUCAUUAAGUUGGGCACUCUAAGUUGACUGCCGGUGACAAACCGGAGGAAGGUGGGGAUGACGUCAAAUCAUCAUGCCCCUUAUGAUUUGGGCUACACACGUGCUACAAUGGACAAUACAAAGGGCAGCGAAACCGCGAGGUCAAGCAAAUCCCAUAAAGUUGUUCUCAGUUCGGAUUGUAGUCUGCAACUCGACUACAUGAAGCUGGAAUCGCUAGUAAUCGUAGAUCAGCAUGCUACGGUGAAUACGUUCCCGGGUCUUGUACACACCGCCCGUCACACCACGAGAGUUUGUAACACCCGAAGCCGGUGGAGUAACCUUUUAGGAGCUAGCCGUCGAAGGUGGGACAAAUGAUUGGGGUGAAGUCGUAACAAGGUAGCCGUAUCGGAAGGUGCGGCUGGAUCACCUCCUUU
RNAcentral lists this ribosomal RNA (1552 nucleotides) under Pseudomonas aeruginosa. Its description in RNAcentral is "16S ribosomal RNA". It matches the Rfam family "Bacterial small subunit ribosomal RNA". RNAcentral also lists the same sequence under 21 other names. Lineage: Bacteria; Pseudomonadati; Pseudomonadota; Gammaproteobacteria; Pseudomonadales; Pseudomonadaceae. The record is from RNAcentral.